This 23-nucleotide non-coding RNA is filed under the name Cricetulus griseus (Chinese hamster). The record is from RNAcentral. Lineage: Eukaryota; Metazoa; Chordata; Mammalia; Rodentia; Cricetidae.
AUGGGAGAUCAUCUCUGGGUGGC